RNAcentral lists this ribosomal RNA (253 nucleotides) under uncultured bacterium. RNAcentral's name for it is "partial 16S ribosomal RNA". It matches the Rfam family "Bacterial small subunit ribosomal RNA", at positions 524 to 776 of the family's 1533-position model. The record is from RNAcentral.
UACGAAGGGGGCUAGCGUUGUUCGGAAUUACUGGGCGUAAAGGGCGCGCAGGCGGCUCAUUUUGUCAGGCGUGAAAGCCCCGGGCUUAACCUGGGAACUGCGUUUGAUACGGAUGGGCUAGAGUUCGGGAGAGGAGAGUGGAAUUCCCAGUGUAGAGGUGAAAUUCGUAGAUAUUGGGAAGAACACCGGUGGCGAAGGCGGCUCUCUGGACCGAGACUGACGCUGAGGCGCGAAAGCGUGGGGAGCAAACAGG